CCUUAGCCCAGAUAGUAGCGGCAUCCUUUUACUUUUUUUCUUUAAAAAAGUAAAAGAUAUAGCGGAUAGCUGGAAAUAGC
This 80-nucleotide small RNA is filed under the name Flavobacterium crassostreae. Its description in RNAcentral is "Flavo-1 RNA". It matches the Rfam family "Flavo-1 RNA". The record is from Rfam by way of RNAcentral. Lineage: Bacteria; Pseudomonadati; Bacteroidota; Flavobacteriia; Flavobacteriales; Flavobacteriaceae.